Long non-coding RNA from Nerophis ophidion (straightnose pipefish), 1456 nucleotides. RefSeq lists it as uncharacterized. The transcript has 3 exons. The record is from RefSeq and is a predicted model, not a curated record. NCBI's taxonomy places the organism in Eukaryota, Metazoa, Chordata, Actinopteri, Syngnathiformes, Syngnathidae.
GAAGAGAGGAGGAGUGUAUAAAAAGAGGCAGAGAGGCAGACUUUCCAUUCAUCCUUUUGGCUGAGAGAAGACAGGACGACUUCUCAACUCUCAAUCAGCCAACAUCUUCAAUCUUCUCAUACGUUAUUGGCAGUCGGACGUACCAACAGGUCACUGCAUGGACCACCUUUACGAUCUUUCAGUCCUCUUGGAAGAUAACAAGACUGAACCGUGAUGGCAAGAAGAAUGACACACACAACACUUAUCAUGCUGGAAUGAACCCUAAAAGGAACAUGUUGAAGUUAAGGAUUCUUGUUUCCCAAUUCAAAGGAAAGUUUCUAAGGAUUCCCUGGGGACGUUUCUUAACAGGACUUCUUGACAAGUAGAAGGCUAUCAACAGAUAUGGCAGAUUAUAACGGUCAAGACUUGGAGUUGGUCGUGGUUUGUUUUCCCGAGGUGCAAAGCAAAUGGAGUGGAAAUGGCGUCAAGGGGAACCUGCUUGUCGUGACGGAGCGGUUGUUGCUGGACACACGACGGACUCUGGGGAGAAGAAGGAGUGCGGCGUGCCUGGCCACCAUUUCUGUCGAGGACGUGAAGAUAUCUACCUAUUUGGAUUAGUGACAAAAGGACAUCUGCUGAUUGGAGCAAGCUUUGUUCUGGAUUGUCGACAAAUUGGAAGUUGCUGGCAGUCUUCAAUUUACCCCUAAGGUGCCACAAAUGAUUGGAGAAUGCGGGAAGAACUGUGGACACUCUUGAGAUUUUGAAUCACAUCGGACUGUCUGCCCCGCAGGAUUUUGAGGACCAGUCAUAGACAAUUUAGAGUGAAAAGCAAAUUUUAUUUUCACUCGCAUACAAAACAUUGUAACUUGGAUUGUUUCCCUGGCUUCCAGACUCUCCCGAACGACAGUGCAGCGAAGACACAACAAACUCCCUUCUUGUCUCUCAAGGACACACACCUGUUGUUGUUGAUUUAGGACUAGCGACUGCACAAGAUCAAGGCCGCGGAACAGAGACACACUGCAGGCUUACACACAAACAUGCAUCCACAAAAAUAUUCGGCACACACAUACAUAUCCCACCCCACUCCCACAAUCCAACGCCCUUGUUGCAAAUCUCAUAGGGGUGAUGAAAGGAUGAUCAGCGCCAGAGAGCUGCGGCCUACCACCAUGACUCCGCACUCCCUUCCCUCUGUUGUUAGAUAUCUCGAGAUGUAUGUUGUAAUAUGUAUACGUGCUUUGCAAUGGAUAUUUUUUCCCACUCGAGACUGGGCCCCCUUAGGAGUCCAGUCGAGAUUGUUUUUUUUUACUUAUCCUUCCCCAGCGUUUUACCUUUUUCCCAUCUUUUACGGGGCGCCUUGUGGCGACUCAUCAGCGUUCCUGUUCUGUAACCCUGUACACUGUUUGUUUGUCUAAUCUUGAAUGGGUUUGUGCUGAAAACAAAGUUUCGUUGUACUUGUGCAAUGACAAUAAAGACCUAU